RNAcentral lists this ribosomal RNA (825 nucleotides) under Chalaropsis thielavioides. Its description in RNAcentral is "eukaryotic LSU rRNA". It matches the Rfam family "Eukaryotic large subunit ribosomal RNA", at positions 76 to 929 of the family's 3401-position model. Lineage: Eukaryota; Fungi; Ascomycota; Sordariomycetes; Microascales; Ceratocystidaceae. The record is from RNAcentral.
UGCCCUAGUAACGGCGAGCGAAGCGGCAACAGCUCAAAUUUGAAAUCUGGCUACUUUGUAGUCCGAGUUGUAAUUUGUAGAGGAUGCUUUUGGUGAGGUGCCUUCCGAGUUCCCUGGAACGGGACGCCAGAGAGGGUGAGAGCCCCGUACGGUUGGAUACCAAACCUUUGUAUAGCUCCUUCGACGAGUCGAGUAGUUUGGGAAUGCUGCUCUAAAUGGGAGGUAUAUCUCUUCUAAAGCUAAAUAUAGGCUAGAGACCGAUAGCGCACAAGUAGAGUGAUCGAAAGAUGAAAAGCACUUUGAAAAGAGAGUUAAACAGCACGUGAAAUUGUUGAAAGGGAAGCGCCUAUGACCAGACUUGUUUCUUUCAGUUUUGUUAGUUCUCGGACUGAUUUACUCUGUUAGUACAGGCCAGCAUCAGUUUGUUGUCGGGGAGAAAGGCUUAGGGAAUGUGGCUCCUUCGGGAGUGUUAUAGCCCUUUGCAUAAUACCCUUCGGCAGACUGAGGACCGCGCUUCGGCAAGGAUGCUGGCGUAAUGGUCAUCAGCGACCCGUCUUGAAACACGGACCAAGGAGUCAACCUUAUGUGCGAGUGUUUGGGUGUAAAACCCCAGCGCGUAAUGAACGUGAACGUAGGUGAGAGCUUCGGCGCAUCAUCGACCGAUUCUGAUGUUCUCGGAUGGAUUUGAGUAAGAGCACACAGGGUUGGACCCGAAAGAAGGUGAACUAUGCUUGUAUAGGGUGAAGCCAGAGGAAACUCUGGUGGAGGCUCGCAGCGGGUUCUGACGUGCAAAUCGAUCGUCAAAUAUGAGCAUGGGGGCGAAAG